RNAcentral lists this ribosomal RNA (465 nucleotides) under uncultured bacterium. RNAcentral's name for it is "partial 16S ribosomal RNA". It matches the Rfam family "Bacterial small subunit ribosomal RNA", at positions 28 to 507 of the family's 1533-position model. The record is from RNAcentral.
GACGAACGCUGGCGGCGUGCCUAAUACAUGCAAGUCGAACGGAAAGGCCCCUUUCGGGGUACUCGAGCGGCGAACGCGUGCGUAACACGUGCGUAACCUGCCCCUGACUUUGGGAUAACUUCAGGUUACUGGGGCCAAUACCGGUUCGGAAUACUUUCUGCAUGGUCGGGGUUGGAUAGUUACGGCGGUUUUGGCUGGACUUGCGGCUUAUCAGCUUGAUGGUGGGGUUGUGGCUUACCAAGGCUUUGACGGGGAGCCGGCAUGAGGGGGCGACCGGCCACAUUGGGACCGAGAGGCGGCCCAGAGUCCGACGGGAGGCAGAAGGGGGGAAAGUUGCACGAUGGGCGGAAGCCUGAGGCAGCAAGGCCGCGGGCGGGAAGACGGCCGUCGGGUUGGAAGACGAAUUCAGCAGGUGCGAAGCUUGUGGUGGAGGUACCUGCAGAAGAAGCACCGGCUAAAUACGUG